Molecule: small nucleolar RNA, 144 nt
Organism: Mastomys coucha (southern multimammate mouse)
Lineage: Eukaryota; Metazoa; Chordata; Mammalia; Rodentia; Muridae
Product: small nucleolar RNA SNORA48
Exons: 1
Source: RefSeq, a predicted model, not a curated record
CUCCCUUGGCAAUGGGCAAAGAGACACCUUGUUGGUGGUGGUGUUCUUAUGUCAGACAGGGGCACAGCAGGUGGCAGUCCUUUGUGCGUCCUAGCUUGAUGCCUGUCUUGGUGGCCAAAAUUGUUUUAUGCUUAAGACAUAUAA